RNAcentral lists this transfer RNA (74 nucleotides) under Candidatus Margulisiibacteriota bacterium. RNAcentral describes it as "tRNA-Arg". It matches the Rfam family "tRNA". From Rfam's summary of the family: Transfer RNA (tRNA) molecules are approximately 80 nucleotides in length. The record is from RNAcentral. Lineage: Bacteria; Bacillati; Candidatus Margulisiibacteriota.
GCCCCCGUAGCUCAGAUGGACAGAGCAGCGGUUUCCUAAACCGUUGGUCGCGAGUUCGAAUCCCGCCGGGGGCA